GAUGAAGAACGCAGUGAAAUGCGAUAAGUAAUGUGAAUUGCAGAAUUCAGUGAAUCAUCGAAUCUUUGAACGCACAUUGCGCCCGCCAGUAUUCUGGCGGGCAUGCCUGUUCGAGCGUCAUUUCAACCCUCAAGCCCCCGGGCUUGGUGUUGGGGAUCGGCGUGCCCUCGCGGCGCGCCGUCCCCUAAAUCUAGUGGCGGUCUCGCUGUAGCUUCCUCUGCGUAGUAGCAACACUCGCACUGGAUCGCAGCGCGGCCACGCCGUUAAACCCCCCACUUCUGAAAGUUUGACCUCGGAUCAGGUAGGAAUACCCGCUGAACUUAAGGAUAUCAAUAAGCGGAGGA
This 344-nucleotide unclassified non-coding RNA is filed under the name soil metagenome. RNAcentral's name for it is "partial contains 5.8S ribosomal RNA, internal transcribed spacer 2, and large subunit ribosomal RNA". The stretch from base 1 to 120 matches the Rfam family "5.8S ribosomal RNA", at positions 35 to 154 of the family's 154-position model. The record is from RNAcentral.